RNAcentral lists this ribosomal RNA (254 nucleotides) under uncultured bacterium. RNAcentral's name for it is "partial 16S ribosomal RNA". It matches the Rfam family "Bacterial small subunit ribosomal RNA", at positions 524 to 776 of the family's 1533-position model. The record is from RNAcentral.
UACGGGGGGAGCAAGCGUUGUUCGGAUUUACUGGGCGUAAAGGGCGCGUAGGCGGUCGUGACAAGUCACUUGUGAAAUCUCCGGGCUUAACUCGGAACGGUCAAGUGAUACUGUCGGACUAGAGUACAGAAGGGGCAACUGGAAUUCUCGGUGUAGCGGUGAAAUGCGUAGAUAUCGAGAGGAACACCUGCGGCGAAGGCGGGUUGCUGGGCUGACACUGACGCUGAAGUGCGAAAGCUAGGGGAGCGAACAGG